Zootermopsis nevadensis is the source of this 1537-nucleotide non-coding RNA. The record is from RefSeq and is a predicted model, not a curated record. NCBI's taxonomy places the organism in Eukaryota, Metazoa, Arthropoda, Insecta, Blattodea, Termopsidae.
AAAACUUGACUUUAAACACUUUUACAACUUAACCCACCACCCGUUAAUUCAUAUCUUAAAUAUUUUAUAAUUCCGGAAUAACGGAUAGAUCCCUGCUUUAUCGACGUAGCUGUACAAAGUUCAGUAAUUGUGCAGUAUGACAGUUGUAGUUCAUGAUAUUUCCAGUAGAUAGUGGUUUAUAUGUUGCCAGUAAAUGUCGCACGCGAACGUCUUGGUUAUGAUUACAGGUAAAUGAAAGACUUGUAUGUAAGAGUACACUUGUAUGCUAGAUUCUAGGUAAAGGUAAGUGAAAUAAUCUGAAGGAACGAAUAUUGAUUUUGAUAUGACGAUAUCUGAAUUAACAUUCAUAAUCUCCUCUGAGAUUACUAGAUCGUAUUUGACAGCUUUUAUGCGUUUUCGAAGUUCACGAGCUAUAGCAGAACAUUUUGUGGGUGUUUUUAUACGACGUCGUGUUGUUUGCUGUCAGCCGUGUUUAAGCUUAAUUAAUGUGCUUCGUGUGAAUCAGUCUGUUGUGGAUUACGGAUUGCAAGCAGAAAGGUGGCCAGUUGUCAACUGAUGUUUCGGUGUGAUGCACACAUGUGUGAAGAUUUUCACAGAUGCUGUGUAAACAUAUGCCACUGCAGGGGAAGUUGGUUUGUGGAAGAACUCGAAAUUUGAACUACAACGACAAAUGCAACAUUCCGUAUGAAUGACGCCAAGUGAUUCGAUUCAUCGCCAUUCGACCGCGAGAUCGACGCCGACAUAAGGAGUGAAGUUGUUACAGAUUCUUUUAUAUUUUCUUGCCACUGUAAUAACAGUGUUCAAUAGGAGUUGAUGCAGAGAGCUUUGCUGUGAAGUGCACAGGAAGAAGAUGGCGGCGGAACUUAACGGGAAGCUAGUCCCGGUGGAGUACCUCGGAUUCACCGCAAUGGACAAGAGGUUUUCCAGACCGAUGUUGCCGUGGGUCAUCGCAGAGAUCAAGAGGCGCGGUACUUCAGAGAAAGUAAGACUUACACAUAUGUUUGUAUAUUUAGUAGUUUUGGUUGUUAGUUUUCGACUGAGUGGUCUGACACAACGGUACCUCUCAUGUACCUGAUUAAAAUCUUGGUCCGUUGUUUCCUCGGUCUGUCGUGAUGGUACGUUGAAAUAAAUAUUGUAUUUCUUUUCUUACCCACAAACGUGCGCGGUGUUAUUAAAUAAUCAAAAAAACGAAUUUAAUUUUUUAACGAUGUUGUGCUUGGUCACGUGUUUUAACCGUGGAGUAAAUGCUAUAUAAACAUUAUUCCUUUUGUAAUAGGAGUCUGCAAGCUGGUCUGGCUGUAUCACUCAUAUUUAACGCUAUCAGCAUAUAUUAUGAUCCAGAUUUAUAUAAGAAUCGAGAAAUUUAUAAAAACUAAAAUAAGAAUGAAGUGAUAUGAUUCUUUACGAUACUUACAGGGAAUGAUCCGGUUGGUCAUGUCGAAACCUCACCUGAAAUUUUACUCGUCUACAGAGCCCAUCUAGUAUGAUUGUACACGUAUCUACGUAUAUAAUACGCAGGUGUUUUAUAUGGUGGUUU